CCUACGGGAGGCAGCAGUGAGGAAUAUUUGUCAAUGGGCGCGAGCCUGAACCAGCCAAGUAGCGUGAAGGCUGACUGCCCUACGGGUUGUAAACUUCUUUUAUAAAGGAAUAAAGUGAGGCACGUGUGCCUUUUUGUAUGUACUUUAUGAAUAAGGAUCGGCUAACUCCGUGCCAGCAGCCGCGGUAAUACGGAGGAUCCGAGCGUUAUCCGGAUUUAUGGGGUUUAAAGGGAGCGUAGAUGGGUUGUUAAGUCAGUUGUGAAAGUUUGCGGCUCAACCGUAAAAUUGCAAUUGAUACUGGCAGACUUGAGUAAAGUUGAGGUAGGCGGAAUUCGUGGUGUAGCGGUGAAAUGCUUAGAUAUCACGAAGAACGCCGAUGGCGAAGGCAGCCUACUAAACUUCCACUGACAUUGAUGCUCGAAAGUGUGGGUAUCAAACAGGAUUAGAUACCCUUGUAGUC
Molecule: ribosomal RNA, 460 nt
Filed under: uncultured bacterium
Lineage: Bacteria
Description: partial 16S ribosomal RNA
Rfam family: Bacterial small subunit ribosomal RNA
Source: RNAcentral